Molecule: long non-coding RNA, 524 nt
Organism: Coffea eugenioides
Lineage: Eukaryota; Viridiplantae; Streptophyta; Magnoliopsida; Gentianales; Rubiaceae
Exons: 5
Source: RefSeq, a predicted model, not a curated record
AAGGGACUUGGUGGACGAUGGGCUCAAGACAGAAAGGGGGCUAGUAAUAUUUCUUCUUCAUCUCCCUCUUCCCUCUCUCCUCCAUCAAGUGGAAGAAGAUGAUGAAGAUUAAAGAGAAAGCAAUGCCAGCUAUUACACUUAUUAGACAUCUUUUUAUAGCUCAAAUAAAGGAAGAAAGAAAUAAAGAGUUUAGUUUUCUUCAUUGAGCCUUCAAGGAUGAAGAGUGAGAAAGCUGAUGAACUGCUUGAGUUGGUUGGCUACUACAUGGCCUUUCUCAUGAAUUCUUAUCAAGAAGCAAGGUAUGGUUCUCCAACCAUGAAUAGCAUGGAUAUGAGCCAUUUUGCUAUUUGCUACUCCCUCCGUCCCAUUGAAAGUGUAAUACUUUCCUUUUUUGGCUGUUCCAAAAUGUUUGUCAUGUUUGAUAUUUCUAACUACUUUAUAUUCUGAAAUUUUCCUUAUACCCUUCAUUAAUGAUGCAUAAAGACAAAUAUGAUGGGAUUGUUUUCUACUUUUUACUUUGACUA